CGGCACAAGCUCAGAUUUGAAAUCUGGCCCUUUCAGGGUCCGAGUUGUAGUCUGCAGAGGGUGCUUUGGCACGGGCGGCGGUCUAAGUUCCUUGGAACAGGACAUCACAGAGGGUGAGAAUCCCGUACGUGGCAGCCUGCCCUUGCCGUGUAAAGCCCCUUCGAC
RNAcentral lists this ribosomal RNA (165 nucleotides) under Didymosphaeriaceae sp. Its description in RNAcentral is "partial large subunit ribosomal RNA". It matches the Rfam family "Eukaryotic large subunit ribosomal RNA", at positions 99 to 261 of the family's 3401-position model. Lineage: Eukaryota; Fungi; Ascomycota; Dothideomycetes; Pleosporales; Didymosphaeriaceae. The record is from RNAcentral.